AUUGAACGCUGGCGGCAUGCCUUACACAUGCAAGUCGAACGGCAGCACGGGAGCAAUCCUGGUGGCGAGUGGCGAACGGGUGAGUAAUAUAUCGGAACGUACCCAGUCGUGGGGAUAACGUAGCGAAAGCUACGCUAAUACCGCAUACGAUCUAUGGAUGAAAGCGGGGGAUCGCAAGACCUCGCGCGAUUGGAGCGGCCGAUAUCAGAUUAGGUAGUUGGUGAGGUAAAGGCUCACCAAGCCGACGAUCUGUAGCUGGUCUGAGAGGACGACCAGCCACACUGGGACUGAGACACGGCCCAGACUCCUACGGGAGGCAGCAGUGGGGAAUUUUGGACAAUGGCGCAAGCCUGAUCCAGCAAUGCCGCGUGCAGGAUGAAGGCC
RNAcentral lists this ribosomal RNA (384 nucleotides) under uncultured bacterium. RNAcentral's name for it is "bacterial SSU rRNA". It matches the Rfam family "Bacterial small subunit ribosomal RNA", at positions 30 to 416 of the family's 1533-position model. The record is from RNAcentral.